This 76-nucleotide transfer RNA is filed under the name bacterium. Its description in RNAcentral is "tRNA-Ala". It matches the Rfam family "tRNA". From Rfam's summary of the family: Transfer RNA (tRNA) molecules are approximately 80 nucleotides in length. Their secondary structure includes four short double-helical elements and three loops (D, anti-codon, and T loops). The record is from RNAcentral.
GGGGCAAUAGCUCAGUUGGGAGAGCGCGUGCUUCGCAUGUACGAGGUCGCCGGUUCGAUUCCGGUUUGCUCCACCA